UAGCUCAGUGGUAGAGCACUUGUCUAGCAGGCAUGAGGCCCUGGGUUCAAUCCCCAG
This 57-nucleotide transfer RNA is filed under the name Heterocephalus glaber (naked mole-rat). It matches the Rfam family "tRNA", at positions 8 to 63 of the family's 71-position model. Rfam says of the family: Transfer RNA (tRNA) molecules are approximately 80 nucleotides in length. Lineage: Eukaryota; Metazoa; Chordata; Mammalia; Rodentia; Bathyergidae. The record is from Rfam by way of RNAcentral.